This 405-nucleotide ribosomal RNA is filed under the name uncultured microorganism. RNAcentral's name for it is "bacterial SSU rRNA". It matches the Rfam family "Bacterial small subunit ribosomal RNA", at positions 9 to 407 of the family's 1533-position model. The record is from RNAcentral.
GAGUUUGAUCUUGGCUCAGAUUGAACGCUGGCGGCAUGCCUAACACAUGCAAGUCGAACGGCAGCACUGGGAGCUUGCUCCCUGGUGGCGAGUGGCGGACGGGUGAGUAACGCGUAGGAAUCUGCCUCAUAGCGGGGGACAACUCGGGGAAACUCGAGCUAAUACCGCAUACGUACUCGAGAGAGGAAAGCAGGGGACCUUCGGGCCUUGCACUAUGAGAUGAGCCUGCGUUGGAUUAGCUAGUUGGUAGGGUAAAGGCCUACCAAGGCGACGAUCCAUAACUGGUUUGUAGAGGAUGACCAGUCACACUGGGACUGAGACACGGCCCGAGACUCCUACGGGAGGGCAGCAGUGGGGAAUAUUGGACAAUGGGGGAAACCCUGAUCCAGCAAUGCCGCGUGUGUG